UAUUUUCUUUUAUUUCUUCAUUGCUAUAAUAGGACG
This 36-nucleotide non-coding RNA is filed under the name Plasmodium falciparum 3D7. Lineage: Eukaryota; Apicomplexa; Aconoidasida; Haemosporida; Plasmodiidae. The record is from RNAcentral.